AACGAACGCUGGCGGCAGGCCUAACACAUGCAAGUCGAACGGAACCUUCGGGUUUAGUGGCGCACGGGUGCGUAACGCGUGGGAAUGUACCCUUGGGUACGGAAUAAUGUCUGGAAACGGGCACUAAUACCGUAUAAUGACUCCGGUCCAAAGAUUUAUCGCCCAAGGAUCAGCCCGCGUUAGAUUAGGUAGUUGGUGGGGUAAAAGCCUACCAAGCCGACGAUCUAUAGGGGGUCUGAGAGGAUGAUCCCCCACACUGGGACUGAGACACGGCCCAG
RNAcentral lists this ribosomal RNA (278 nucleotides) under uncultured bacterium. RNAcentral describes it as "partial 16S ribosomal RNA". It matches the Rfam family "Bacterial small subunit ribosomal RNA", at positions 29 to 334 of the family's 1533-position model. The record is from RNAcentral.